This 227-nucleotide ribosomal RNA is filed under the name Clostridioides difficile. Its description in RNAcentral is "partial 16S ribosomal RNA". It matches the Rfam family "Bacterial small subunit ribosomal RNA", at positions 480 to 707 of the family's 1533-position model. Lineage: Bacteria; Bacillati; Bacillota; Clostridia; Peptostreptococcales; Peptostreptococcaceae. The record is from RNAcentral.
UGAGGAGGAAGCCCCGGCUAACUACGUGCCAGCAGCCGCGGUAAUACGUAGGGGGCUAGCGUUAUCCGGAUUUACUGGGCGUAAAGGGUGCGUAGGCGGUCUUUCAAGUCAGGAGGGAAAGGCUACGGCUCAACCGUAGUAAGCUCUUGAAACUGGGAGACUUGAGUGCAGGAGAGGAGAGUGGAAUUCCUAGUGUAGCGGUGAAAUGCGUAGAUAUUAGGAGGAAC